CCUACCCAUAACAGGAGGAUAGNNCCCCGAAAGGGGAAUUAACCCUCCAUAGUAAUAUUGAAUGGCAUCAUUUGAUAUUUAAAANNCCGGUGGUUAUGGAUGGGCAUGCGUCUGAUUAGUUAGUUGGCGGGGUAACGGCCCACCAAGACGAUGAUCAGUAGGGGAACUGAGAGGUUGAUCCCCCACACUGGCACUGAGAUACGGGCCAGACUCCUACGGGAGGCAGCAGUAGGGAAUAUUGGUCAAUGGAUGGAAGUCUGAGCCAGCCAUGCCGCGUGCAGGAAGAAGGCCUUAUGGGUUGUAAACUGCUUUUGCCAGGGGAUAAAAUAGCUGUGCGCAGCGAAUUGCAGGUACCUGGUGAAUAAGCCACGGCUAACUACGUGCCAGCAGCCGCGGUAAUACGUAGGUGGCAAGCGUUGUCCGGAUUUAUUGGGUUUAAAGGGUGCGUAGGCGGCCCUGUAAGUCAGUGGUGAAAUACUCCAGCUUAACUGGAGGGGUGCCAUUGAUACUGCAGGGCUUGAGUGGAGUAGAAGUAGGCGGAACUGACGGUGUAGCGGUGAAAUGCUUAGAUAUCGUCAAGAACACCGAUAGUGAAGACAGCUUACUAUGCUUCAACUGACGCUGAGGCACGAAAGUGUGGGGAUCAAACAGGAUUAGAUACCCUGGUAGUCCACACUGUAAACGUUGAUGACUCGCUGUUGGCGAUACACUGCCAGCGGCCAAGCGCAAGCGAUAAGUCAUCCACCUGGGG
RNAcentral lists this ribosomal RNA (751 nucleotides) under uncultured bacterium. RNAcentral describes it as "bacterial SSU rRNA". It matches the Rfam family "Bacterial small subunit ribosomal RNA", at positions 125 to 878 of the family's 1533-position model. The record is from RNAcentral.